GACGAACGCUGGCGGCGUGCCUAAUACAUGCAAGUCGAGCGGACUGAUUAAGAGCUUGCUCUUAUGACGUUAGCGGCGGACGGGUGAGUAACACGUGGGCAACCUGCCCUGUAGAUCGGGAUAACACCGAGAAAUCGGUGCUAAUACCGGGUAAUAUCUGAGAUCACAUGAUCUUAGGUUAAAAGAUGGCUCCGGCUAUCACUACAGGAUGGGCCCGCGGCGCAUUAGCUAGUUGGUAAGGUAAUGGCUUACCAAGGCGACGAUGCGUAGCCGACCUGAGAGGGUGAUCGGCCACACUGGGACUGAGACACGGCCCAGACUCCUACGGGAGGCAGCAGUAGGGAAUCUUCCGCAAUGGACGAAAGUCUGACGGAGCAACGCCGCGUGAGUGAUGAAGGGUUUCGGCUCGUAAAGCUCUGUUGUUAGGGAAGAAACAGUACCGAACGAACGAGGUCGGUACCUUGACGGUACCUAACCAGAAAGCCACGGCGAACUACGU
Molecule: ribosomal RNA, 499 nt
Filed under: uncultured bacterium
Lineage: Bacteria
Description: partial 16S ribosomal RNA
Rfam family: Bacterial small subunit ribosomal RNA
Source: RNAcentral